GAUGAACGCUGGCGGCGUGCUUUAACACAUGCAAGUCGAACGGGAAACAUUUUAUUGAAGCUUCGGCAGAUUUAGUUUGUUUCCAGUGGCGGACGGGUGAGUAAACGCGUGGGUAACCUGCCUCACACUGGGGGAUAACAGUCAGAAAUGACUGCUAAUACCGCAUGAAACAGGGGUCCCGCAUGGGGAUAUUUGUUAAAGAUUUUAUCGCUGAUAGAUAGGCAUGCGUUCCAUUAGGUAGUUGGUGGGGCAACGGCCCACCAAGCCGACGAUGGAUAGGGGUUCUGAGAGGAAGGUCCCCCACACUGGUACUGAGACACGGACCAGACUCCUACGGGAGGCAGCAGUGAGGAAUAUUGGUCAAUGGGCGAGAGCCUGAACCAGCCAAGUCGCGUGAGGGACGAAGGCCCUACGGGUUGUAAACCUCUUUUAUAAGGGAAUAAAGGGCGCCACGUGUGGCGUAUUGCAUGUACCUUAUGAAUAAAGCAUCGGCUAACUCCGUG
This 503-nucleotide ribosomal RNA is filed under the name uncultured bacterium. Its description in RNAcentral is "bacterial SSU rRNA". It matches the Rfam family "Bacterial small subunit ribosomal RNA", at positions 28 to 507 of the family's 1533-position model. The record is from RNAcentral.